RNAcentral lists this ribosomal RNA (210 nucleotides) under Lutjanus bengalensis (Bengal snapper). Its description in RNAcentral is "partial 16S ribosomal RNA". The record is from RNAcentral. Lineage: Eukaryota; Metazoa; Chordata; Actinopteri; Lutjaniformes; Lutjanidae.
GCCCAACAGCUAGCCCCUCCAGCCAAAACCAACAACCCCACAUAAAUACCCCCUAACACCCUUAACCCACCCCAAACAAACCAUUUUUCCCCCUUAGUAUAGGCGAUAGAAAAGGAACUGAGGAGCAACAGAAAAAGUACCGUAAGGGAAAGCUGAAAGAGAAAUGAAACAACCCAGUAAAGCACAUAAAAGCAGAGACUAACCCUCGUA